CCGCGUGUGUGAUGAAGGCUUUCGGGUCGUAAAGCACUGUUGUAUGGGAAGAACAGCUAGAAUAGGAAAUGAUUUUAGUUUGACGGUACCAUACCAGAAAGGGACGGCUAAAUACGUGCCAGCAGCCGCGGUAAUACGUAUGUCCCGAGCGUUAUCCGGAUUUAUUGGGCGUAAAGCGAGCGCAGACGGUUUAUUAAGUCUGAUGUGAAAGCCCGGAGCUCAACUCCGGAAUGGCAUUGGAAACUGGUUAACUUGAGUGCAGUAGAGGUAAGUGGAACUCCAUGUGUAGCGGUG
RNAcentral lists this ribosomal RNA (294 nucleotides) under uncultured Leuconostoc sp. RNAcentral describes it as "partial 16S rRNA". It matches the Rfam family "Bacterial small subunit ribosomal RNA", at positions 397 to 683 of the family's 1533-position model. The record is from RNAcentral. Lineage: Bacteria; Bacillati; Bacillota; Bacilli; Lactobacillales; Lactobacillaceae.